RNAcentral lists this ribosomal RNA (253 nucleotides) under uncultured bacterium. RNAcentral's name for it is "partial 16S ribosomal RNA". It matches the Rfam family "Bacterial small subunit ribosomal RNA", at positions 524 to 776 of the family's 1533-position model. The record is from RNAcentral.
AACGUAGGAGACAACCGUUAUCCGGAGUUACUGGGCGUAAAGGGCGUGUAGGCGGUUCGUUAAGUCUGGCGUGAAAGCUCUCGGCUAAACCGGGAGAGGUCGUUGGAUACUGGCGGACUAGAGGACGGUAGAGGCGUGUGGAAUUCCGGGUGUAGGGGUGAAAUGCGUAGAGAUCCGGAGGAACACCAGUGGCGAAGGCGACACGCUGGGCCGUACCUGACGCUAAAGCGCGACAGCAUGGGGAGCAAACGGG